AACGAACGCUGGCGGCAUGCCUAACACAUGCAAGUCGAACGAGACCUCCGGGUCUAGUGGCGCACGGGUGCGUAACGCGUGGGAAUCUGCCCUUGGGUUCGGAAUAACAGUUGGAAACGACUGCUAAUACCGGAUGAUGACGUAAGUCCAAAGAUUUAUCGCCCAGGGAUGAGCCCGCGUAGGAUUAGCUAGUUGGUGGGGUAAAGGCCUACCAAGGCGACGAUCCUUAGCUGGUCUGAGAGGAUGAUCAGCCACACUGGGACUGAGACACGGCCCAGACUCCUACGGGAGGCAGCAGUGGGGAAUAUUGGACAAUGGGCGAAAGCCUGAUCCAGCAAUGCCGCGUGAGUGAUGAAGGCCUUAGGGUUGUAAAACUCUUUUACCCGGGAUGAUAAUGACAGUACCGGGAGAAUAAGCCCCGGCUAACUCCGUG
RNAcentral lists this ribosomal RNA (433 nucleotides) under uncultured bacterium. RNAcentral's name for it is "partial 16S ribosomal RNA". It matches the Rfam family "Bacterial small subunit ribosomal RNA", at positions 29 to 507 of the family's 1533-position model. The record is from RNAcentral.